AGCGAACGCUGGCGGCAGGCCUAACACAUGCAAGUCGAACGAACCUUUCGGGGUUAGUGGCGGACGGGUGAGUAACACGUGGGAACGUGCCUUUAGGUUCGGAAUAACUCAGGGAAACUUGUGCUAAUACCGAAUGUGCCCUUCGGGGGAAAGAUUAAUCGCCUUUAGAGCGGCCCGCGUCUGAUUAGCUAGUUGGUUGAGGUAAUGGCUCACCAAGGCGACGAUCAGUAGCUGGUCUGAGAGGAUGAUCAGCCACAUUGGGACUGAGACACGGCCCAAACUCCUACGGGAGGCAGCAGUGGGGAAUCUUGCGCAAUGGGCGAAAGCCUGACGCAGCCAUGCCGCGUGAAUGAUGAAGGUCUUAGGAUUGUAAAAUUCUUUCACCGGGGACGAUAAUCACGGUACCCGGAGAAGAAGCCCCGGCUAACUUCGUG
This 434-nucleotide ribosomal RNA is filed under the name uncultured bacterium. Its description in RNAcentral is "partial 16S ribosomal RNA". It matches the Rfam family "Bacterial small subunit ribosomal RNA", at positions 29 to 507 of the family's 1533-position model. The record is from RNAcentral.